AGACCCCUUGAAGACGACGAGGUAGAUAGGGCAGAGGUGGAAGUGCGGUAACGCAUGGAGCUGACUGUUACUAAUAGGUCGAGGGCAUAACCAAA
This 95-nucleotide ribosomal RNA is filed under the name Lachnoclostridium sp. An298. RNAcentral's name for it is "partial 23S ribosomal RNA". It matches the Rfam family "Bacterial large subunit ribosomal RNA", at positions 2831 to 2925 of the family's 2925-position model. Lineage: Bacteria; Bacillati; Bacillota; Clostridia; Lachnospirales; Lachnospiraceae. The record is from RNAcentral.